Molecule: ribosomal RNA, 492 nt
Filed under: uncultured bacterium
Lineage: Bacteria
Description: bacterial SSU rRNA
Rfam family: Bacterial small subunit ribosomal RNA
Source: RNAcentral
CCUGGCUCAGAUUGAACGCUGGCGGCAUGCCUUACACAUGCAAGUCGAACGGCAGCGGACCUUCGGGUGCCGGCGAGUGGCGAACGGGUGAGUAAUAUAUCGGAACGUACCUUUCAGUGGGGGAUAACGUAGCGAAAGUUACGCUAAUACCGCAUAUUCUGUGAGCAGGAAAGCAGGGGAUCGCAAGACCUUGCGCUGAUUGAGCGGCCGAUACCAGAUUAGCUAGUUGGUGAGGUAAAGGCUCACCAAGGCGACGAUCUGUAGCGGGUCUGAGAGGAUGAUCCGCCACACUGGAACUGAGACACGGUCCAGACUCCUACGGGAGGCAGCAGUGGGGAAUUUUGGACAAUGGGCGCAAGCCUGAUCCAGCCAUGCCGCGUGAGUGAAGAAGGCCUUCGGGUUGUAAAGCUCUUUCGGCCGGGAAGAAAUCGCACAGGUUAAUACCCUGUGUGGAUGACGGUACCGGAAUAAGAAGCACCGGCUAACUACGUG